RNAcentral lists this ribosomal RNA (376 nucleotides) under uncultured bacterium. RNAcentral describes it as "bacterial SSU rRNA". It matches the Rfam family "Bacterial small subunit ribosomal RNA", at positions 523 to 898 of the family's 1533-position model. The record is from RNAcentral.
AUACGAAGGGUGCGAGCGUUAAUCGGAAUUACUGGGCGUAAAGCGCGCGUAGGUGGUUUGGUAAGCGAUAUGUGAAAGCCCCGGGCUUAACCUGGGAACUGCAUGUCGAACUGUCAGGCUAGAGUAUGGUAGAGGGGUGUGGAAUUUCCUGUGUAGCGGUGAAAUGCGUAGAUAUAGGAAGGAACAUCAGUGGCGAAGGCGACACCCUGGACCGAUACUGACACUGAGGUGCGAAAGCGUGGGUAGCGAACAGGAUUAGAUACCCUGGUAGUCCACGCCGUAAACGAUGUCAACUAGCCGUUGGGGGGCUUGUCCCUUCAGUGGCGGAGCUAACGCGAUAAGUUGACCGCCUGGGGAGUACGGCCGCAAGGUUAAA